Molecule: ribosomal RNA, 465 nt
Filed under: uncultured bacterium
Lineage: Bacteria
Description: partial 16S ribosomal RNA
Rfam family: Bacterial small subunit ribosomal RNA
Source: RNAcentral
CCUACGGGAGGCAGCAGUGGGGAAUAUUGCGCAAUGGGCGAAAGCCUGACGCAGCGACGCCGCGUGAGGGAUGAAGGUCUUAGGAUCGUAAACCUCUGUCAGCAGGGAAGAACGGUCACUGUGCUAAUCAGUCGUGAAUUGACGGUACCUGCAAAGGAAGCACCGGCUAACUCCGUGCCAGCAGCCGAGGUAAUACGGAGGGUGCGAGCGUUAAUCGGAAUUACUUGGCGUACAGCUCUCGUAGGCGGUAUGUCAAGUCAAGGGUGAAAUCCCCGGGCUCAACGUGGGAACUGCCUUUGAAACUGGCAAACUGGAGUGUGUGAGAGGAUAGUGGAAUUCCAGGUGUAGGAGUGAAAUCCGUAGAUAUCUGGAGGAACAUCAGUGGCGAAGGCGACUAUCUGGCACAUAACUGACGCUGAGGAGCGAAAGCGUGGGUAGCAAACAGGAUUAGAUACCCCGGUAGUC